UACGAAGGGGGCUAGCGUUGCUCGGAAUCACUGGGCGUAAAGGGUGCGUAGGCGGGUCUUUAAGUCAGGGGUGAAAUCCUGGAGCUCAACUCCAGAACUGCCUUUGAUACUGAAGAUCUUGAGUUCGGGAGAGGUGAGUGGAACUGCGAGUGUAGAGGUGAAAUUCGUAGAUAUUCGCAAGAACACCAGUGGCGAAGGCGGCUCUCUGGACCGGUUCUGACGCUCAGGCGCGAAAGCGUGGGGAGCGAUCCGG
This 253-nucleotide ribosomal RNA is filed under the name uncultured bacterium. RNAcentral describes it as "partial 16S ribosomal RNA". It matches the Rfam family "Bacterial small subunit ribosomal RNA", at positions 524 to 776 of the family's 1533-position model. The record is from RNAcentral.